Molecule: ribosomal RNA, 1316 nt
Filed under: Serratia sp. XY21
Lineage: Bacteria; Pseudomonadati; Pseudomonadota; Gammaproteobacteria; Enterobacterales; Yersiniaceae
Description: bacterial SSU rRNA
Rfam family: Bacterial small subunit ribosomal RNA
Source: RNAcentral
GCUUAUACAUCGUAAGUCGAGCGGUAGCACAGGGGAGCUUGCUCCCUGGGUGACGAGCGGCGGACGGGUGAGUAAUGUCUGGGAAACUGCCUGAUGGAGGGGGAUAACUACUGGAAACGGUAGCUAAUACCGCAUAACGUCGCAAGACCAAAGAGGGGGACCUUCGGGCCUCUUGCCAUCAGAUGUGCCCAGAUGGGAUUAGCUAGUAGGUGGGGUAAUGGCUCACCUAGGCGACGAUCCCUAGCUGGUCUGAGAGGAUGACCAGCCACACUGGAACUGAGACACGGUCCAGACUCCUACGGGAGGCAGCAGUGGGGAAUAUUGCACAAUGGGCGCAAGCCUGAUGCAGCCAUGCCGCGUGUGUGAAGAAGGCCUUCGGGUUGUAAAGCACUUUCAGCGAGGAGGAAGGUGGUGAGCUUAAUACGUUCAUCAAUUGACGUUACUCGCAGAAGAAGCACCGGCUAACUCCGUGCCAGCAGCCGCGGUAAUACGGCGGAGGGUGCAGCGUUAAUCGGAAUUACUGGGCGUAAAGCGCACGCAGGCGGUUUGUUAAGUCAGAUGUGAAAUCCCCGGGCUCAACCUGGGAACUGCAUUUGAAACUGGCAAGCUAGAGUCUCGUAGAGGGGGGUAGAAUUCCAGGUGUAGCGGUGAAAUGCGUAGAGAUCUGGAGGAAUACCGGUGGCGAAGGCGGCCCCCUGGACGAAGACUGACGCUCAGGUGCGAAAGCGUGGGGAGCAAACAGGAUUAGAUACCCUGGUAGUCCACGCUGUAAACGAUGUCGAUUUGGAGGUUGUGCCCUUGAGGCGUGGCUUCCGGAGCUAACGCGUUAAAUCGACCGCCUGGGGAGUACGGCCGCAAGGUUAAAACUCAAAUGAAUUGACGGGGGCCCGCACAAGCGGUGGAGCAUGUGGUUUAAUUCGAUGCAACGCGAAGAACCUUACCUACUCUUGACAUCCAGAGAACUUUCCAGAGAUGGAUUGGUGCCUUCGGGAACUCUGAGACAGGUGCUGCAUGGCUGUCGUCAGCUCGUGUUGUGAAAUGUUGGGUUAAGUCCCGCAACGAGCGCAACCCUUAUCCUUUGUUGCCAGCGGUUCGGCCGGGAACUCAAAGGAGACUGCCAGUGAUAAACUGGAGGAAGGUGGGGAUGACGUCAAGUCAUCAUGGCCCUUACGAGUAGGGCUACACACGUGCUACAAUGGCGUAUACAAAGAGAAGCGACCUCGCGAGAGCAAGCGGACCUCAUAAAGUACGUCGUAGUCCGGAUUGGAGUCUGCAACUCGACUCCAUGAAGUCGGAAUCGCUAGUAAUCGUAGAUU